AACGAACGCUGGCGGCAUGCCUUACACAUGCAAGUCGAACGGCAGCACGGGAGCAAUCCUGGUGGCGAGUGGCGAACGGGUGAGUAAUAUAUCGGAACGUGCCCAGUCGUGGGGAUAACGUAGCGAAAGCUACGCUAAUACCGCAUACGAUCUAUGGAUGAAAGCGGGGGAUCGCAAGACCUCGCGCGAUUGGAGCGGCCGAUAUCAGAUUAGGUAGUUGGUGAGGUAAAGGCUCACCAAGCCGACGAUCUGUAGCUGGUCUGAGAGGACGACCAGCCACACUGGGACUGAGACACGGCCCAGACUCUACGGGAGGCAGCAGUGGGGAAUUUUGGACAAUGGGCGCAAGCCUGAUCCAGCAAUGCCGCGUGCAGGAUGAA
This 380-nucleotide ribosomal RNA is filed under the name uncultured bacterium. RNAcentral's name for it is "bacterial SSU rRNA". It matches the Rfam family "Bacterial small subunit ribosomal RNA", at positions 29 to 412 of the family's 1533-position model. The record is from RNAcentral.